This 450-nucleotide ribosomal RNA is filed under the name uncultured bacterium. RNAcentral describes it as "partial 16S ribosomal RNA". It matches the Rfam family "Bacterial small subunit ribosomal RNA", at positions 354 to 796 of the family's 1533-position model. The record is from RNAcentral.
GUGGGGAAUAUUGGACAAUGGGCGAAAGCCUGAUCCAGCCAUGCCGCGUGUGUGAAGAAGGUCUUCGGAUUGUAAAGCACUUUAAGUUGGGAGGAAGGGCAGUAAGUUAAUACCUUGCUGUUUUGACGUUACCAACAGAAUAAGCACCGGCUAACUUCGUGCCAGCAGCCGCGGUAAUACGAAGGGUGCAAGCGUUAAUCGGAAUUACUGGGCGUAAAGCGCGCGUAGGUGGUUCAGCAAGUUGAAGGUGAAAUCCCCGGGCUCAACCUGGGAACUGCCUCCGAAACUACUGAGCUAGAGUACGGUAGAGGGUAGUGGAAUUUCCUGUGUAGCGGUGAAAUGCGUAGAUAUAGGAAGGAACACCUGUGGCGAAGGCGACUACCUGGACUGAUACUGACACUGAGGUGCGAAAGCGUGGGGAGCAAACAGGAUUAGAAACCCGGGUAGUCC